RNAcentral lists this ribosomal RNA (433 nucleotides) under uncultured bacterium. RNAcentral describes it as "partial 16S ribosomal RNA". It matches the Rfam family "Bacterial small subunit ribosomal RNA", at positions 29 to 507 of the family's 1533-position model. The record is from RNAcentral.
AACGAACGCUGGCGGCAGGCCUAACACAUGCAAGUCGAGCGAGGACUUCGGUCCUAGCGGCGGACGGGUGAGUAACGCGUGGGAACGUGCCCUUUGCUUCGGAAUAGCCCUGGGAAACUGGGAGUAAUACCGGAUGAGCCCUUUGGGGGAAAGAUUUAUCGGCGAAGGAUCGGCCCGCGUUGGAUUAGGUAGUUGGUGGGGUAAUGGCCUACCAAGCCGACGAUCCAUAGCUGGUUUGAGAGGAUGAUCAGCCACACUGGGACUGAGACACGGCCCAGACUCCUACGGGAGGCAGCAGUGGGGAAUCUUAGACAAUGGGGGAAACCCUGAUCUAGCCAUGCCGCGUGAGCGAUGAAGGCCUUAGGGUUGUAAAGCUCUCUCAGCUGGGAAGAUAAUGACGGUACCAGCAGAAGAAGCCCCGGCUAACUCCGUG